Long non-coding RNA from Mus caroli (Ryukyu mouse), 1488 nucleotides. RefSeq lists it as uncharacterized. Lineage: Eukaryota; Metazoa; Chordata; Mammalia; Rodentia; Muridae. The record is from RefSeq and is a predicted model, not a curated record.
GAGUCAUCUGGAUGAUGUGCCUCUGGAUGUGCCAAUAAGGGAUUAUCAUGAUUGCUCAUCAAGGAAGCUGACACCAUCUGCCCCCUGUGGGCACACCAUUCCUUAGGCAGGAGACUGUGGAUUAGCCGAGAAAAUACGCUGAUCGUUAGAUCUUCUCAUUUGUUUCUCUCUUCCCCUGACUGUGGAUGCAAAGCAGAUCAGCUGCUUCAAGCACCUGCUGCCACAAUGGACUGCAACCUAAAACUAAUGAAGAAUGGAACUGCUACUCUGGACCCAAUUUUGAUCAAGUAGGAGGAACAAUGGUGGACUCAGGAAAGACACCGGAUAGAUGAAGACAAGGCUGCGGAUCAGUGCUUGGAAAGAUGCUGCUGAAGUGGCUAAGGAGGCUGCUGGAGUCGAGUCUGAGAGCUCAGCAGCACAAGAUGCCAGAUGAAAGGCCAAAUGGGGUCAGGAGCAAAAAGCAGUCCAGGAGCAGCAAUGAGGAGCAGGUCCAGAUCCAGAUGAAUGCACAGCUGAAACUGUGACUUGUUCUGAAAGAUAAGGUUAAGAUUAACACCAUGAAGGGGAGACCUGCUACUGUGCAUCAGAGUAGAAGGAAGGAUCCUCCUCAGGAAAAGACCCAGCCCAGUUCCCAUCUAUCACUGAGGGAAAAGCUGCUAUUACUGUUGUUUAAGUGGCUCAGAGCCUGUUCAAGGGGUGACAAUAAAGAGAUUGCCUUGAAUCUCAGAAGAGGCUUUAAAAUUUUAAGCAGUUUUGAGAUUGUGAAAGACUACAGGGACUGCCAAUUACUCAUUUGAACAAGUGCAAUUCUCUUUGAUUAUCCCAGAGCAGCCAGAUGGAAUAGCCUGUUUCCCCAUAUUUCUGAUUUCUUUCUGUUUCAUUUGGAUGAUACCCUACAGCAGAGGAAGUAGAAUGUGAGCUGUCAACCAGAAGUGUGCAAGAUGACUCAUGGCUGUUCCUCAAUCAAGUUCCUCUGUUUGUCAUAUUUGGAGAAAUACUGCCAGCCUGAGUUGAAUUCAUUUGCACAGCAGAUCAUGUGUCUUAUAACCUUUGGUGACAUAUGACCAACCCAACAAUAUACCACAAGGACCAUUUGACUGUCCCCUCUGGCUUCUGCAUCUUGCUUCCAGCAUGAACAGACAGAAGUUUCUCAGGACCCAGCAAUAUCAGGAGAAGGCUAGUGUCCUUCCACAUCUGUCACUGUCUUCCUUCUAUAUCUGAGAAACCUGUGAUGACGUCCACCCAUUUGAAAUAGUGUCCUCUCAAGACUUAGCCAAGCCACAUGCUUGCUCACGGAUGACCAAAAAGAUGGGAAGUAGAUUUGCCGAAAGGCUCCAAGGUCUCCUUGCUAAUUGAAAUGUCAUAAUCAGGAUGUGGAGUUGAGAAAAUUAAGAAGGUAUUGGCUUACAAUUUCUGUUAUAAGAACAGCAGCAGCAGCAGCAGCAGCAGCAGCAGCAGCAGCAGCAGCAGCAGCAGCAUGUGCUAAGA